GACGAACGCUGGCGGCGUGCCUAAUACAUGCAAGUAGAACGCUGAAGGCGGAGCUUGCUCUUCUUGGAUGAGUUGCGAACGGGUGAGUAACGCGUAGGUAACCUGCCUGGUAGCGGGGGAUAACUAUUGGCAACGAUAGCUAAUACCGCAUAAUAGUAGAUGUUGCAUGACAUUUGCUUAAAAGGUGCAAUUGCAUCACUACCAGAUGGACCUGCGUUGUAUUAGCUAGUUGGUGAGGUGACGGCUCACCAAGGCAACGAUACAUAGCCGACCUGAGAGGGUGAGCUGCCACACUGGGACGGGGACACGACCCAGACUCCUACGGGAGGCAGCAGGAGGGAAUCUUCAGCAAUGGACGGAAGUCGGACCAAGCAACGCCGCGUGAGUGAAGAAGGUUUUCGGAUCGUAAAGCUCUGUUGUAAGAGAAGAACGAGUGGGAGAGUGGAAAGUUCACACUGUGACGGUAUCUGACCAGAAAGAGACGGCUAACUACGUG
This 496-nucleotide ribosomal RNA is filed under the name uncultured bacterium. Its description in RNAcentral is "partial 16S ribosomal RNA". It matches the Rfam family "Bacterial small subunit ribosomal RNA", at positions 28 to 507 of the family's 1533-position model. The record is from RNAcentral.